AGCCCGGUGGUGUAGCGGUCAAGCAAGCAUCGGUGUGCAACAUCUAGCCUUGAUUACUGGCCUUUGGAGCCGGUGACCUCAGUUCGAAUCUGAGCCGGGCUACCA
Molecule: transfer RNA, 105 nt
Filed under: Nitrososphaerota archaeon
Lineage: Archaea; Thermoproteati; Nitrososphaerota
Description: tRNA-Gln
Rfam family: tRNA
About the family: Transfer RNA (tRNA) molecules are approximately 80 nucleotides in length. Their secondary structure includes four short double-helical elements and three loops (D, anti-codon, and T loops).
Source: RNAcentral